CCUACGGGAGGCAGCAGUGAGGAAUAUUGGUCAAUGGACGCAAGUCUGAACCAGCCAUGCCGCGUGCAGGAAGACGGCUCUAUGAGUUGUAAACUGCUUUUGUACGAGGGUAAACGCAGAUACGCGUAUCUGUCUGAAAGUAUCGUACGAAUAAGGAUCGGCUAACUCCGUGCCAGCAGCCGCGGUAAUACGGAGGAUUCAAGCGUUAUCCGGAUUUAUUGGGUUUAAAGGGUGCGUAGGCGGUCGGAUAAGUUAGAGGUGAAAUCCCGAGGCUCAACUUCGGAAUUGACUCUGAUACUGUUCGGCUAGAGAGUAGUUGCGGGAGGCGGAAUGGAUGGUGUAGCGGGGAAAUGCUUAGAGAUCAUACAGAACACCGAUUGCGAAGGCAGCUUACCAAGCUACUUCUGACGUUGAGGCACGAAAGCGUGGGGAGCAAACAGGAUUAGAUACCCUUGUAGUC
RNAcentral lists this ribosomal RNA (460 nucleotides) under uncultured bacterium. RNAcentral describes it as "partial 16S ribosomal RNA". It matches the Rfam family "Bacterial small subunit ribosomal RNA", at positions 338 to 795 of the family's 1533-position model. The record is from RNAcentral.